GACGAACGCUGGCGGCGUGCCUAAUACAUGCAAGUAGAACGCACAGUUUAUACCGUAGCUUGCUACACCAUAGACUGUGAGUUGCGAACGGGUGAGUAACGCGUAGGUAACCUGCCUGGUAGCGGGGGAUAACUAUUGGAAACGAUAGCUAAUACCGCAUAAUAUUAAUUAUUGCAUGAUAAUUAAUUGAAAGGUGCAAUUGCACCACUACCAGAUGGACCUGCGUUGUAUUAGCUAGUAGGUGAGGUAACGGCUCACCUAGGCGACGAUACAUAGCCGACCUGAGAGGGUGAUCGGCCACACUGGGACUGAGACACGGCCCAGACUCCUACGGGAGGCAGCAGUAGGGAAUCAUCGGCAAUGGACGAAAGUCUGACCGAGCAACGCCGCGUGAGUGAAGAAGGUUUUCGGAUCGUAAAGCUCUGUUGUAAGAGAAGAACGGGUGUGAGAGUGGAAAGUUCACACUGUGACGGUAUCUUACCAGAAAGGGACGGCUAACUACGUG
RNAcentral lists this ribosomal RNA (505 nucleotides) under uncultured bacterium. Its description in RNAcentral is "partial 16S ribosomal RNA". It matches the Rfam family "Bacterial small subunit ribosomal RNA", at positions 28 to 507 of the family's 1533-position model. The record is from RNAcentral.